Molecule: regulatory RNA element, 175 nt
Organism: Planococcus sp. PAMC 21323
Lineage: Bacteria; Bacillati; Bacillota; Bacilli; Caryophanales; Caryophanaceae
Rfam family: glmS glucosamine-6-phosphate activated ribozyme aptamer
About the family: This entry contains a glucosamine-6-phosphate activated ribozyme that is found in the mRNA for GlmS. GlmS is an enzyme that uses fructose-6-phosphate and glutamine to generate glucosamine-6-phosphate.
Source: Rfam
AAAACAAUUAUAGCGCCUGUACUGGAGAAAUUGGACGGACAAGUCAUCUCUAGUAGACGAGGAGAAGGAGUAUCGAAUUUUCGGCGGAUCCCUUCCGGCCAUGAAGCCUGGUCGUGAUGUCCAUUCUUAAAACAAUCGAGCGAUCGAUUGGACAACAAGAUGGAUAGGCUCAAAC